GCACGUAGUUAGCCGGCGCUUCUUCUGCGGGUACCGUCAUGGAUCCAUGGUGUUAACACGGACCUUUUCGUCCCCGCCGAAAGAGCUUUACAACCCGAAGGCCUUCUUCACUCACGCGGCAUGGCUGGAUCAGGCUUGCGCCCAUUGUCCAAAAUUCCCCACUGCUGCCUCCCGUAGGAGUCUGGACCGUGUCUCAGUUCCAGUGUGGCUGGUCGUCCUCUCAGACCAGCUACGGAUCGUCGCCUUGGUGGGCUUUUACCCCGCCAACUAGCUAAUCCGACAUCGGCCGCUCCAAUAGUGAGAGGUCUUGCGAUCCCCCUCUUUCACCCGUAGGUCGUAUGCGGUAUUAGCCUCUCUUUCGAGAGGUUAUCCCCCGCUACUGGACACGUUCCGAUGUAUUACUCACCCGUUCGCCACUCUACUCGGGGGGUUGCCCCCUCUUUCGCGUUCGACUUGCAUGUGUAAGGCAUGCCGCCAGCGUUCAAU
This 486-nucleotide ribosomal RNA is filed under the name uncultured bacterium. Its description in RNAcentral is "partial 16S rRNA". The record is from RNAcentral.